AUGAUGAGAUUAUAUGGUGUCGUAGUGGCAUCUGAUUUAU
This 40-nucleotide non-coding RNA is filed under the name Trypanosoma brucei brucei. Lineage: Eukaryota; Euglenozoa; Kinetoplastea; Trypanosomatida; Trypanosomatidae. The record is from RNAcentral.